This 291-nucleotide ribosomal RNA is filed under the name uncultured bacterium. RNAcentral describes it as "partial 16S ribosomal RNA". It matches the Rfam family "Bacterial small subunit ribosomal RNA", at positions 505 to 796 of the family's 1533-position model. The record is from RNAcentral.
GUGCCAGCUGCCGCGGUAAUACGUAGGGAGCAAGCGUUAUCCGGAAUUAUUGGGCGUAAAGCGUGCGCAGGUGGUCAGAUUAGUCAAAUGUGAAAGCCCACAGCUUAACUGUGGAGGGUCAUUUGAAACUGUCUGACUAGAGUACGGUAGAGGUAAGUGGAAUUCAAUGUGUAGCGGUAAAAUGCGUAGAUAUAUUGAGGAACACCAGUGGCGAAGGCGGCUUACUGGACCGGAACUGACACUGAGGCACGAAAGCGUGGGUAGCAAACAGGAUUAGAUACCCCGUAGUCC